Molecule: ribosomal RNA, 460 nt
Filed under: uncultured bacterium
Lineage: Bacteria
Description: partial 16S ribosomal RNA
Rfam family: Bacterial small subunit ribosomal RNA
Source: RNAcentral
CCUACGGGAGGCAGCAGUGAGGAAUAUUGGUCAAUGGGCGAGAGCCUGAACCAGCCAAGUCGCGUGAAGGAUGAAGGUUCUAUGGUUUGUAAACUUCUUUUAUAUGGGAAUAAAGUGAGGAACGUGUUCCUUUUUGUAUGUACCUUAUGAAUAAGCAUCGGCUAACUCCGUGCCAGCAGCCGCGGUAAUACGGAGGAUGCGAGCGUUAUCCGGAUUUAUUGGGUUUAAAGGGUGCGUAGGUGGUUAAUUAAGUCAGCGGUGAAAGUUUGUGGCUCAACCAUAAAAUUGCCGUUGAAACUGGUAGACUUGAGUAUAUUUGAGGUAGGCGGAAUGCGUGGUGUAGCGGUGAAAUGCAUAGAUAUCACGCAGAACUCCGAUUGCGAAGGCAGCAUACUAAACUCUCACUGACACUGAAGCACGAAAGCGUGGGGAUCAAACAGGAUUAGAUACCCGAGUAGUC